AAACGACUCUCGGCAACGGAUAUCUCGGCUCUUGCAUCGAUGAAGAACGUAGCGAAAUGCGAUACUUGGUGUGAAUUGCAGAAUCCCGUGAACCAUCGAGUCUUUGAACGCAAGUUGCGCCCGAGGCCAUUUAGGUUGAGGGCACGUCUGCCUGGGCGUCACACACA
RNAcentral lists this ribosomal RNA (167 nucleotides) under Actaea podocarpa. Its description in RNAcentral is "5.8S nuclear ribosomal RNA". It matches the Rfam family "5.8S ribosomal RNA". Rfam says of the family: 5.8S ribosomal RNA (5.8S rRNA) is a component of the large subunit of the eukaryotic ribosome. It is transcribed by RNA polymerase I as part of the 45S precursor that also contains 18S and 28S rRNA. The record is from RNAcentral. Lineage: Eukaryota; Viridiplantae; Streptophyta; Magnoliopsida; Ranunculales; Ranunculaceae. RNAcentral also lists the same sequence under 19 other names.